Molecule: ribosomal RNA, 496 nt
Filed under: uncultured bacterium
Lineage: Bacteria
Description: partial 16S ribosomal RNA
Rfam family: Bacterial small subunit ribosomal RNA
Source: RNAcentral
AUGCACGCUGGCGGCGUGCCUAAUACAUGCAAGUCGCGCGAACAGACGAGGAGCUUGCUCCUCUGACGUUAGCGGCGGACGGGUGAGUAACACGUGGAUAACCUACCUAUAAGACUGGGAUAACUUCGGGAAACCGGAGCUAAUACCGGAUAAUAUAUUGAACCGCAUGGUUCAAUAGUGAAAGACGGUUUUGCUGUCACUUAUAGAUGGAUCCGCGCCGCAUUAGCUAGUUGGUAAGGUAACGGCUUACCAAGGCAACGAUGCGUAGCCGACCUGAGAGGGUGAUCGGCCACACUGGAACUGAGACACGGUCCAGACUCCUACGGGAGGCAGCAGUAGGGAAUCUUCCGCAAUGGGCGAAAGCCUGACGGAGCAACGCCGCGUGAGUGAUGAAGGUCUUCGGAUCGUAAAACUCUGUUAUUAGGGAAGAACAAAUGUGUAAGUAACUAUGCACGUCUUGACGGUACCUAAUCAGAAAGCCACGGCUAACUACGUG